RNAcentral lists this ribosomal RNA (481 nucleotides) under uncultured bacterium. RNAcentral's name for it is "partial 16S ribosomal RNA". It matches the Rfam family "Bacterial small subunit ribosomal RNA", at positions 28 to 507 of the family's 1533-position model. The record is from RNAcentral.
GAUGAACGCUAGCGGCAGGCCUAAUACAUGCAAGUCGGACGGGAUUCAGGAGCUUGCUUCUGAUGAGAGUGGCGCACGGGUGCGUAACACGUAUGUAACCUACCUUUAUCAGGGGGAUAGCCUCUCGGAAGAGAGAUUAAGCCCGCAUAAAAUCACAGCACAGCAUUGUGUAAUGAUCAAAUAUUUAUAGGAUUAAGAUGGGCAUGCGGAACAUUAGCUAGAUGGCGGGGUAACGGCACACCAUGGCGACGAUGUUUAGGGGAUCUGAGAGGGUGGCCCCCAACACUGGAACAGGGCAACGAACAGAACUCCAACGGGGGGCAGCGGAAAGGAAUGUAGGUCAAAGGGCGGAAGCCUGAACCGGCCAGGCCGCGGACAGAAAGACGGCCUUACGGGUUGUAAACUGCUUUUAAACAGGAGUAAACCCAAAUACGGGUAUCCGGCUAAAGGAACUGUAAAAAUAGGAUCGGCUAACUCCGUG